Molecule: long non-coding RNA, 242 nt
Filed under: Homo sapiens (human)
Lineage: Eukaryota; Metazoa; Chordata; Mammalia; Primates; Hominidae
Description: HSALNT0297324
Source: RNAcentral
AUAUUACCACUUUGCCUUCCCUUUCUUUUUGCUGGAAUGUGAUGAAAGGUGUGGACGCAUAGCAUCCCAAAUGAGAUAGGAGAUGCUGAGCAUGAAGACAAAAGCCUAUCGAAUGGGGUGUCAGAAAAGAAACAUCAAAAUAUCCUGAAUACAAAGCUGGCUGAUGCAGUGAUCUACAAGGUCAUGACUGAGGUAUCUUAUACUCAUCCUCAUUCAAGCAAGAUUAUGUUUAACUUAAAAAG